CAGUCGCCACGGUAAAACGUAGGUCCCGAGCGUUGUCCGGAUUUAUUGGGCGUAAAGGGAGCGCAGGCGGUUUAGUAAGUCUGAAGUUAAAGGCAUUGGCUCAACCAAUGUAUGCUUUGGAAACUGUUAGACUUGAGUGCAGAAGGGGAGAGUGGAAUUCCAUGUGUAGCGGUGAAAUGCGUAGAUAUAUGGAGGAACACCGGUGGCGAAAGCGGCUCUCUGGUCUGUCACUGACGCUGAGGCUCGAAAGCGUGGGUAGCGAACAGGAUUAGAUACCCCCGUAGUCCCUGUCUCUUAUACA
RNAcentral lists this ribosomal RNA (301 nucleotides) under uncultured bacterium. RNAcentral describes it as "partial 16S ribosomal RNA". It matches the Rfam family "Bacterial small subunit ribosomal RNA", at positions 509 to 808 of the family's 1533-position model. The record is from RNAcentral.